This 433-nucleotide ribosomal RNA is filed under the name uncultured bacterium. RNAcentral describes it as "partial 16S ribosomal RNA". It matches the Rfam family "Bacterial small subunit ribosomal RNA", at positions 29 to 507 of the family's 1533-position model. The record is from RNAcentral.
AACGAACGCUGGCGGCAUGCCUAACACAUGCAAGUCGAACGAGACCUUCGGGUCUAGUGGCGCACGGGUGCGUAACGCGUGGGAACCUGCCCUUAGGUUCGGAAUAACUCCCCGAAAGGGGUGCUAACACCGGAUAAUGUCUUCGGACCAAAGAUUUAUCGCCUUUGGAUGGGCCCGCGUUGGAUUAGCUAGUUGGUAGGGUAAAAGCCCACCAAGGCGACGAUCCAUAGCUGGUCUGAGAGGAUGAUCAGCCACACUGGGACUGAGACACGGCCCAGACUCCUACGGGAGGCAGCAGUGGGGAAUAUUGGACAAUGGGCGAAAGCCUGAUCCAGCAAUGCCGCGUGAGUGAUGAAGGCCUUAGGGUUGUAAAGCUCUUUUACCCGGGAUGAUAAUGACAGUACCGGGAGAAUAAGCUCCGGCUAACUCCGUG